AGAUGCGAAAUCUUAUAGUCACUGUUGCUCUCCAUUUUCAUUUCCCCACUUUCGCGCGGUUGCUGGCUCCGCCGCUGCGAGCCAUCGGGCGAUCCGGAGGCCAUUUUGUCGCGAGGAGCCCGAACCCUAGUUGUAUCCAGAUCUCUGAGUAAGCUUCUUGGGUUUUCCUCUGCAAAUUUUUUGUUUCUGAUCGCCCAUCUCUUAAACCGUGAAAGGGAAGAACAUUUUCGCGAAUGAUAAUACGAAGGAGGAGAAUACACCAAGGGUGUCACUUGGACUUUAGCUCGUAAACUUGUUUGUCUAAGGCAGAGGAUUGUGAACUUGUGCGCAGAUAUGAUGCAUAUCAGCACAUACUCAGGAUUGUAAAGAACAUCCAAGAUUAUGGCUACUAUUGAUCGAGAUGAUGAUGUGGAAUUUGACUUGAGGAAAAACCUAUUACAUAGAUGCUGAUUAUUCUUGCACAUUGCUGGUACAUUAAAUAGUACCAGGGAAGCAAGCAAAACUGAUGAAAGAAUUCCAGAAGAAAUUGCAACUAGCUGCAAACUCUUGCAUUAUGGAAAUACUUUUUAUUGUGAAUUACUGGGAAAGAAUGAAGAAAUCUAACCCUAGGAGGGAAAACAACGAUGCAACAAUGCUUGGAUUCAAAAAUUAAUGUAGUUUCCUGUCCCAUGUGCUACAUCGAUGGAUACUAUGCUAGUUCCAUUGCCAACUGCACAUAGGGAUAAUGAAACUACAGCUUCGCCAUCAAGUUCAGCUGUAUGUUCUCUCCCCCAAGUCUCUUGAUGUUAGCCAUCUUACUGUAUUGCAGUAUUGUUUUUAUCAUUUCAUGGUCAUACUCUUUUCUUAGUUUGCAUCUCGAUUCCGAAACAUGUCUGUUGUUGUUGAGGACAAUGUCAGUCAAUGAAAGUGGCAAAAACUAGAAUUAAAUGGUAUGUUGGAGAUUGUGAUCUGCAGAAACUGCUACUAAUAUUUUAUUCUGCAUGUCAGCAAUUCUGUCGUUGGGCUACCAGCAAUCAGGUUGGGCAUUUUACUGGUCUUGAGUACAUUGCUGCAUGCCUCUAUUUUUCACAUUGAAAUUACAGAUGGAAUUCAAACUUGCAAUAUAUACCAUUGAAGCAGCGUGUGAGGGAAACCAUCACCUAUGACCUGUGUAGCAAGCUGGAUCAGCACUCAGUCCACUUGUGGGUAAAUGAAACCUUAAAUAUGUAGAAUAUAUAUUUUAUUAUUAAAAAUAGAGGGCAGAGGGUGUUGGAAAUGUGAAUGAAAUAAAGAGAUAGAGAUGAAGAGAUUCUAUUGUGUAUGGGUUGUUAGUCCUAUAUCAAAAGUCUCUUGACUUUAUUAUUGGUUUAAA
Zingiber officinale is the source of this 1351-nucleotide long non-coding RNA. RefSeq lists it as uncharacterized. The record is from RefSeq and is a predicted model, not a curated record. The transcript has 5 exons. Lineage: Eukaryota; Viridiplantae; Streptophyta; Magnoliopsida; Zingiberales; Zingiberaceae.